RNAcentral lists this non-coding RNA (30 nucleotides) under Callithrix jacchus (white-tufted-ear marmoset). The record is from RNAcentral. Lineage: Eukaryota; Metazoa; Chordata; Mammalia; Primates; Cebidae. RNAcentral also lists the same sequence under 1 other name.
UGUCUACUUGAGUAAUGUAUACUGUUACCC